UAAUACAGGAUAACUCCAGGUCUACAUAUC
This 30-nucleotide non-coding RNA is filed under the name Mus musculus (house mouse). The record is from RNAcentral. Lineage: Eukaryota; Metazoa; Chordata; Mammalia; Rodentia; Muridae.